RNAcentral lists this ribosomal RNA (828 nucleotides) under Triticum aestivum (bread wheat). RNAcentral describes it as "partial small subunit ribosomal RNA". The record is from RNAcentral. Lineage: Eukaryota; Viridiplantae; Streptophyta; Magnoliopsida; Poales; Poaceae.
AUGCGGGCGAGCUGCAACGGCUGCCGGGUGCUGCGCAAGGGCUGCGCCGACGACUGCACCAUCCGCCCCUGCCUGGCCUGGAUCCGGAGCCCCGACGCGCAGGCCAACGCCACCGUCUUCCUCGCCAAGUUCUACGGCCGCGCGGGGCUCAUCAACCUCCUCGCCGCCGCCCCGGACGACGCCCACCGCCCGGCGCUCUUCCGCUCGCUGCUCUACGAGGCGUGCGGCCGGGCGGCCAACCCCGUCUACGGCGCCUCCGGGCUCUUCUCCACGGGCAACUGGGAGGCCUGCCAGGCCGCCGUCCAGGCCGUGCUCGAGGGCCGCCGCAUCCCCCAGGUCGGCGCCGACCAGGCCGCCCCGCACCCCGGCCUCGUCGCGGCCUACGGCGUCCGCUAUAUCCCCAAGGACGGCAUCGACCGUGCGUCCGCCGCGCUCCGUGUCUCGCCCGCUGGCCGCGCCAGCUUCAAGCGCGCGGCCUCCUCCUGUUCGGCGGCCAGGUCCAAGCGCGACGGUGGCCACGAGGGGGAGUCCGACGGCAGCCACGACCACGUUGUUGAAGACGACGGCAAGGCGCUGGCAGACAAGCACAAGAGGAGGGAGUCGUCGUCGUCGGAGGCCGAGGCGGGCUCGCACGUGAGCCAGGCAGAGCAGAGCGCGAGCGCCACUGUGCCGCAGGAGGCACAGGAGGACGGCGAAAUUGGGCUGGAGCUCACCCUCGGCUUCGGGCCGGCCACGCGCGUGAUGAGGUCGCCGCCGGCGCGCUUCGAGGCCCGCACCUUGAGCACCGAGUCCGGCCACAUCGGCCUGCUGCUUGGGCUGCCGGUGUGA